RNAcentral lists this long non-coding RNA (1672 nucleotides) under Lynx pardinus (Iberian lynx). Lineage: Eukaryota; Metazoa; Chordata; Mammalia; Carnivora; Felidae. The record is from RNAcentral.
CAGAGAGUGAGGGAGAGAGAGAAUCCCAAGCAGGCUCCGUGCUGUCAGCACAGAGCCCAACACAGGGCUUGAAUUCACGAGCCCAUGAGAUCAUGGGCUGAGCUGAAAUCAAGAGUUGGACGCUUAACCGACUGACCCACCAGCGUGCAAUCCCCCCAAACACUUCGAUUUUAAUGAGUACUCCGUAACUAUGUGUUGUCUGGUGAAUCAACAUCCCCAUUUUACAGACGAGGAAACUGAAGCACAGAGAAGGGAAAUCCCUGCCCAAAGCCGGGGGCAGGGGGGGGCGGGCAUCGCAAUUCCAUCACCCCUCCUGGGUUCUCCUCAGAGCCCCUCCUCCAUUUCCUAGCUGUGUGGUCUGGGGCUGGCCUCUUGCCCUCUCUGAGCCCCACCGUCUUCCCUUUCCGUGCUGUGAGGGACUGUGAGGAAGAUGAGAGGGUGUCCGUGGCACUUUCCCGGAGGAGCACAGCCUUACUCACACAUCAUGAUGCAUCAGAUACAUCGCUGUCCUUUGUCCGCCGGGACCCCACCAAGGCUGGCCCAUCAUGGCCAUCUAGUGCAACGAGAAGGUUCCCAGCCACUAACAGUAUUUUUAAACAACGAUCCCAAGGAAAUAUUUUUAAAAGCCUGCGUCGUGCUGGGGAACAGCUCUGAAUUAUUAACUAUCAGGUAGCCCUGCUAUAUUUUUGGACAGAGUUUAUUCCGACACAUACAAUUUUCCUCCUGGUAAUUUAUGAAAAGCGCAUUCCCUUCUUCAGGAAGUCACACCCCCUUCUGAGCACCACCUCCCCCACCCCAAACUUGAAUGUUUACUGGGUAAAUGCAACAAACUUUUAUCUUAAAGUGCAUCUGCUUGCUCGCUUGAUACUGGAGGACAUUUCCCAGGGAGACACUGCAACGAUAUUUUCUGAAAUGUCCAGCCUGGGGCCUUUUAGGAAUUCAAUAAAACCUUGUCAAUUAGGAUGAAUUAAUCAUCCACCCCCUGCAAGGCCCCCUUUCCCUCUGCUCCACACUGUGACACCUACUGGGGAGAUCACAUAUCGGCUUCAUAGCCAGGCGGUUGUGGGUUCAAGCCCCAGGGGAAUCCUGUUUCCUGGGACUCAGGGAAACUGGCCUCCCCCUGCAUUGCCUACCCUGUCCCAGGCCUCAAAGGCGCACACAGAGUAAAAUGAUCCUGAAUCUAGAGGCGGAGGCCCCACGUUGUCUUGGCAUCAGACUUAGCCGAGUGACCACAAGUAAGUCACCAAACCUCUCUGAUCCAGUUUUUGUGUUUUUGGUUUUGGUUUUGGUUUUGUUUCCUGAUACAGUUUUCUCAUCCCUAAAGCAGGAGGUGAUGGUCCGAAUUCAGGCAUCCACUCAACAAAUAUAUAGACGACCUCGUGCUGGGCACUGGGGACCCAAGCCAACGCCCACCCUCGCGGAGCUCAAUCCAGGUGGCAGGUCCGACCAGCUACACACACGAGUGAACAAGAGAAAUGUUGAACGCUAGUAAGAGCUAUGGAGAAAAUGAGGCUGGGGGCGCCUGGGUGGCUCAGUCGGCUGAGCACCUGACUCUUGAUUUCGACUCUGGUCAUGAUCUGACAGUUCGUGGAAUCGAGCUCCACGUGGGGCUCUGUGCUGACGGUGCGAGCCUGCUUGGGAUCCUCUCUCCCUCUCUCUCUCUGCCCCUCCC